This is a long non-coding RNA of Anarrhichthys ocellatus (wolf-eel), 4411 nucleotides long. RefSeq lists it as uncharacterized. The record is from RefSeq and is a predicted model, not a curated record. The transcript is spliced from 3 exons. NCBI's taxonomy places the organism in Eukaryota, Metazoa, Chordata, Actinopteri, Perciformes, Anarhichadidae.
CGACAUUAUUUGGCGCAGAGACGCUUUAUUCUCAGUAGAAAAACUUGUGCUUCCUUAUUGAACACGUAACAGUUGUUUAAUCAGAAAUAAAUGUGCUCUGUGAUGUUGAUUGGUAUAUGUGUGAUUGCUGUCACUUCAACUUCAGUGACCCUCACCCGCUAUCCCCACUGCGCGUCUUGAUUAGCUGCAUUUUUUUUUUCAACAUCCAACGGUUUUAACCCCCUCAUCCCAAUCUGUCACACUUAAAACACACCCGUCUACCAGUUGCACACACCCGCUCAAUAAUGAUCACCCUGUCCAAGAAUUAAUUAUGAUAAAUGUAGUUUUUUUUUGUUGUUGAUGAAUUAACAAGAUAAUCCGAGUGGCAUCUAGCUGGAACUGCAGUUUGAUAUUAAAACAGCAUAAAGUGCUGCAGGCUCCUUCAAAUGAUGCUACAAAUCAGCAACUGUGGUGAAUUGUAAUCAAAUUAUUUUUUUCAGUCUGACGUGAAUAAUCAUCAGAAAAAAAUGAAUCUACAGAGGAGAUAUAUUUAAUUAUUGAAAAUGUUUAUUGAACCGAGCUAAGCCCCCAAUUUAGCCGCAUAAAGACAAUCUGUCAGAUCUUCGAAAACACCGGUGAAAUAUGAAAUGUAACGUGUUUAUUGUCUUCGAAAGGUUUCGUCUCUGGAGGAGGAGAGUCAGCAGAGACACAUUUUCUUUCGAUAGCAGGCCUACAUGUUCUUUAUUUCCAGUCCUCCACAGUUAUCCAUUAUGUCGUCUGUAAAUUCAUGUCGAGGUCAAGUGUGCAGCAUGAAAUGAAAAGGGUUUCGUUUUAAAUUGAAACUUCACUCAAUGAAUUAGUCCUCGGUAGCAGCACUGGCUUCAGUUAGUGAGGGUAUGAAAUUAGUAAAAUAUUAAUCAUACCAUUAUUAUAAAAAGGCAUUAAUAAUAAUAAUAUUAGAAAAGCUUAAAUUUAGCUUUGGAUCUGUCUUUGUUUCCAUUAGCAGAGACUAUCAUGGUGUCACUUCAUCAGUUUGGCAUCUACUAUAAUUAUCGGAUGCUCUGUGUGCAUGUGCAUCAUUUACUUCGAUUUGUGUUGAUCUAAAAGGGUUUGGUGACAGACACACUUACUUCUCUGUGCCCAUAAAAGGCUGAGUUUAUAAGAUAGGGUUGAGCCUUCAUGGCAUUUCUCUUGAGUGUGUUUUAUUUCAGCACCAGCACUGUUGAAACGCUGCAUUCCGUCUUUUAAAGAAAUGCUUUUGAAAGCCUUUAAAAUGUGGUUUUAUAGGUGUGAUUCAGCUUCUAAUUAUUUUUUACUUCUUUGACUCUUUCGCGAUAACUUAUUUUGAAAUAGGAUCAUAAUAAAACAAAUAGGCUAAUAAUAAUAAUGAUGAUAACGAUAAUAAUAACGACAUUUUAAAUAAUAAUACUACUAGUACAAGUAAAACUUACCCUGGUAUCGACGACUGUAAAGUUCUUUGUCUACUUGGUUUCCUCCUGGAGAAAAAAAUACAACUCGGUGGUGAUAAACGGCGUCCUGGCGCGUAAAACAAUCGAAAACCAAGUAGAAGCAGAGGCAGUCGUCUUCUUUAGUGGCAGAAGAACAGCUAAAAUAAAAGGAUAAAAGUUAAAGGUUGAGCGUCUGCAUCCGGUUUAGAAGCGGUGCGACAGCGGUAGAGUGAUGGAGGAGACUGCAUGUACGCCUUUAGGAUUUGUUGGUGUGUUGUGAGUGAAGUGGUUCGAGUUGGAUUUUGUACAAACUGCCAGCCAAUGGGAGCCGCAGGACUGAGCUGAGGUCUGUCUCUGUCUCCGUCUCUCACACCGGUGGGGAGGAUGAGGGUUUUUUUCUUCCUUUUUUUUUCCUGGGAAACAAAUGUCUCCAGCUACUUUUUUGACGCACAGUCCUCAGCCAAUGGCAGCGAGAGAGCGACUGACAACAUCCCCAUCCCUCCGCAGAGAGGGUACAAUGACAAUAAAUAAACGGUAUGCCGGUGGAUGUCGAGAAGUGGAGUUUAAAUCGAGGAAAAGUCAGUUUAGUCACAUUUUUAUUACAUUUUAUAUUCGACAUUGCUGUUGCUGUGGAUGCAUUGACCUGAGGAAAGUUACAUUGACGGCUGGUUCUGCGAUAAAUGCGCAAAUAAAGAGUUAAAAAACACAAUAUAUGUCCGGUUUAUAUGAAUGCAUAGCCUACUCAUAUACAUAUUUUUAAUAGUUCCAGUGUCAUCCAAUAAUGUUAAUUAUGUAUUCACAUUUUAAAAGUUUCAGACAAUCGAGGAAUAUAAAAGCAUCUUAACAUGAAUUUGCGGAUAGACCCGAAACAAAACAAAUGUAAACUGUUUAUAGGUCUGUUUAUUUGUAUAGAAGAGUAUAAAAUGAAUUAUGUGACAAAAAGACAUGCAGGGGGAAAAAAAUCGCCUGGACUGAAGCAGUGCUCGAAGGCUGCACCGUCCUCUCACAUUCCAGCGCGUCGGAAAAAAAAAGGGGAUUUAGAGCGACUUAUUUCCUUAAAACUGUCCUCCCAUCCACAGAGCCAGUCAGUCAGCUCCCAUCAGCCUGAUACGGGCCUGCACCAAAAUUCACCGACACUAUUUACAUGGGGGUUUCCACCGAGAGACACCAAGCAGCCGAUGACUUCCAUGCAGCACUGGAGCUGCAGUGUGCAGAGAUGAGGAGAAGUGAAGGGGGGAAAGGUAGAUGCAGGCCGGUUCUACUGAUGGAGACAUUUUCACUUAUUUUACUUGACACGCGUUCUGCAAGAGGAAGAUGUGAAAAUAUGAAGAUUUCGAUCAGAAGAAGCCGCCGAUUGGAUCAUAACCCCGGAUUUCUUAACCAGUCUGCAGAAGGGGAGGUUUUGCUGUGAGUGUGUUAGGACACGAGGAACUGCAACACAAUCAGGAGUUCGCCAACAAACAAACGGAUGCAAUUAAACACUCGCCUUCAGAUCAUCAAUGAGGAGGCAAAGUCAAGACUGGUAGAAAAACCAACAAGGACAAAUGUAAGAGGGAAGAAGACUCGGCCUCCUCAAGGUUAAACUUGAACUGUGUUAAGAACUCGACUUCACGCAAUCUGGAUAGUUCUUUCUUCUUCUACAAACACACACACAUCACUGUUUUUGAUGUUAUAUUUUGUAACUUUGCUAAAAAAGUGUUUGUUCUGUUUAUUCUCUGCCUCCACAAUGUCCCGAAAGUAAUUAAAAAACUAAUUUGCAAAUAAAGACUAUCAUUGUCAAACCACCACCCUGCUGUCUCACUCUCUCCCUCUCAACCUUAGCCAUCAGUAGCCUUCUCCUCUGUGUGCUGAGGUGUCUGCAUGUCGAGUAAAACCUGCCCUGCAGACCGGACCUCUCAAGUCUUCAAAGGAGUAGGAACUCAAUGUGGGGAUUUGUUCAGGCUUAUUUGGUAACCUAGGAUUUGAAUUGGAUUCUGGGAGGCAUUCAUAACACAUUUGAAAAUGUUACAUUGUGUGAUUUUGUGUGUAAUCCCCAUAAUAAAUUUUAGAAAUGGUCACAGCACUUGCACGACUGUGACUAUUCAUGAUUUAUCAAAUGGUUUUCUUGUCUUGCCUCUCGGGGGUGAGGUGUGUGUGUUGCCGGCAGGGAACGGGAAGAUCUCGUCCGUUGGACGGGAGAGCCGUUGAGGAGAUGAUUCCUGUGUUUUAACCUUUCUCUCAACACUUUUUUUUUUUUUCCGGACCUGAAUAUGUGAUGGGGUCAGCCACCGUGCCUCCAGAGGGAUUCUCAAAGACCCCCCAACAGCACUGGUGCAUUACUACAACCUCUAGUCUAGUGGAUUAUACCUCCCUGGUAGGAGGGUUAGUGUACACACACACACACACACACACACACACACACACACACACACACACACUGAGGGUACAGUUUAUUAAAGUGUGUAUAUUUGAUCAAAGCCACAGCUAUAGAUUAAUAAGCGGUUCUCUUUUCUCCAGCGUGCCUUGUAAAGUGCCUCAUACUUUGCAUUAAUACAGUGAAGUAGAAAACUUAAGCAUUCUAUUCAAAAUAUUUUUAAUUUCAAAAGUUGAACUGCUGGACAGAAGUUGUCUCCUACUUUGUGUAAAAAUCCAUUCUCAGCGUUUGAUCACCGCACGUUUCAAGUUUCCACAUCACACUUGUGUGUUUGACAUCCAGACUCGUUGUGAUGUCACACAAUCUUGCACUUAUACAUAAGGUGAGCAAAUUAAUUAGAAAACAGCUUUGUCGUGUCAAACUCUGUACAUGCAUCAUUCUGCUCAGUGAAGGUAAACCAUCCAAGUGAAGUGGCAAUAAGCAAAUGUAUUUUACGACUGGAGGGGGGCUUUAAAUGUGUUUUAGAUGGUCCAGAAGGAGUGAAUCAUUUGAUGGCUUCCCUGCUUGGAUUUCUUGUCUGGUACACUCUCCCGCCUUAGUUCGAUAAGAGCGAGAGCAGUGUUGUGUGUGU